This is a non-coding RNA of Triticum aestivum (bread wheat), 135 nucleotides long. Lineage: Eukaryota; Viridiplantae; Streptophyta; Magnoliopsida; Poales; Poaceae. The record is from Rfam.
GUAGUAUUCCCUCCGUCCCAAAAUUAUUGUGUUACAUUUGUUUAGAUACGGAUGUAUCUAACACUAAAAUGUAACUAGAUACAUCUGUAUUUAGACAAAUUUAAGACAAGAAUUUUGGGAUGGAGGGAGUACAAA